This 1276-nucleotide ribosomal RNA is filed under the name uncultured bacterium. Its description in RNAcentral is "bacterial SSU rRNA". It matches the Rfam family "Bacterial small subunit ribosomal RNA", at positions 90 to 1379 of the family's 1533-position model. The record is from RNAcentral.
ACUGAGUGGCGGACGGGUGAGUAACGCGUGGGUAACCUGCCUCAUACAGGGGGAUAACAGUUAGAAAUAGCUGCUAAUACCGCAUAAGCGCACAGCUUCGCACGAAGCAGUGUGAAAAACUGAGGUGGUAUACGAUGGACCCGCGUCUGAUUAGCUAGUUGGUGAGGUAACGGCCCACCAAGGCGACGAUCAGUAGCCGGCCUGAGAGGGUGAACGGCCACAUUGGGACUGAGAUACGGCCCAGACUCCUACGGGAGGCAGCAGUGGGGAAUAUUGGGCAAUGGGGGAAACCCUGACCCAGCAACGCCGCGUGAAGGAAGAAGGCCCUCGGGUUGUAAACUUCUUUUACCCAGGGACGAAGAAAGUGGCCGGUACCUGGAGAAAAAAGCAACGGGCUAACUACGUGCCAGCAGCCGCGGUAUUACUUAGGUUGCCAGCCGUGGCCCGGAUUUACUGGGGGGUAAAGGGCGUGUAGGCGGAGAUGCAAGUCAGGAGUGAAAUCCCGGGGCUCAACCCCGGAACUGCUUUCAAAACUGUAUCCCUUGAGUGUCGGAGAGGCAAGCGGAAUUCCUAGUGUAGCGGUGAAAUGCGUAGAUAUUAGGAGGAACACCAGUGGCGAAGGCGGCUUGCUGGACGAUAACUGACGCUGAGGCGCGAAAGCGUGGGGAGCAAACAGGAUUAGAUACCCUGGUAGUCCACGCUGUAAACGAUGAAUACUAGGUGUGGGAGGACUGACCCCUUCUGUGCCGCAGUUAACACAAUAAGUAUUCCACCUGGGGAGUACGACCGCAAGGUUGAAACUCAAAGGAAUUGACGGGGGCCCGCACAAGCAGUGGAUUAUGUGGUUUAAUUCGACGCAACGCGAAGAACCUUACCAGGGUUUGACAUCCAACUAACGAAGUAGAGAUACAUUAGGUGCCCUUCGGGGAAAGUUGAGACAGGUGGUGCAUGGUUGUCGUCAGCUCGUGUCGUGAGAUGUUGGGUUAAGUCCCGCAACGAGCGCAACCCCUAUUGUUAGUUGCUACGCAAGAGCACUCUAGCGAGACUGCCGUUGACAAAACGGAGGAAGGCGGGGACGACGUCAAAUCAUCAUGCCCCUUAUAUCCUGGGCUACACACGUAAUACAAUGGUGGUUAACAGAGGGAAGCAAUACAGCGAUGUGGAGCAAAUCCCUAAAAGCCAUCUCAGUUCGGAUUGCAGGCUGCAACUCGCCUGCAUGAAGCUGGAAUUGCUAGUAAUCGCGGAUCAGCAUGCCGCGGUGAAUACGUUCCCGGGC